UAUAAUAUAGGCUAAAUAAAAGCUUUUGGGCUCAUAACUUAAAGAUUCAUAUUAUAAUGAUAUUAUUA
RNAcentral lists this transfer RNA (68 nucleotides) under Echinoderes svetlanae. Its description in RNAcentral is "tRNA-Met". The record is from RNAcentral. Lineage: Eukaryota; Metazoa; Kinorhyncha; Cyclorhagida; Echinoderidae.